This is a non-coding RNA of Nematostella vectensis (starlet sea anemone), 82 nucleotides long. The record is from Rfam. NCBI's taxonomy places the organism in Eukaryota, Metazoa, Cnidaria, Anthozoa, Actiniaria, Edwardsiidae.
GACGAGGUGGCCGAGUGGUUAAGGCGUUGGACUGCUAAUCCAAUGUGCUCUGCACACUUGGGUUCGAAUCUUAUCCUCGUCG